GAUGACCAGGGCUGAGAACUUGCUCCAGACCAUGAGUCUCCCCUUUGAGAAAGCAAGUAGACUCACAGUUUUUCAGCAUCUCAGGGAGCCUGCAGUGGUGAUCCAGUUCCUUCAAAGGGUCUGUGGAUUCUCUCGGCUUUCCUGGGUCAAAUCAGAAACCUGAUCGAUGAAUGGCUCUGAGUGACAAUGCUAAAUAUCAGGGGGCCAGGCACGAUGGCUCACACCUGUAAUCCUGGCACUUUGUGAAGCCAAGCUUGGACCUUUUUCCAGGUUGGCACUAGAUAUUCAUCAGACUUGGGAAAACUUAGGAUUUUUUAAAAGAAGGUACACAAAGAGAAAGAAUAAGGCCAUUUCCAGCUUCUGGCAUACAAAAUAGAUUAGAAGGCAACAUAGUAAACAGGGUAGGGUCUAGAGAGAGCAUUUCCCAAGUAACUUGAUCCUCUCUCUUCCAUCUCUCAAGGGCCUAACCUAGAGGAAUCUGCUUAUCACAAGACUUGCCACUUGUAAGCAAAAGGAGGGUAGGAUGUAGGGAAAGUAAGGGAAGACUUCUUUUUUUCCAGCUCUAGAUGAGGGUGAGAAGGGAACUGAGGGAGAGAGAGGGAGUCCAUCCUGGGGUUCCAGGCACAGGCCCUGUGACGGAGGAGGUGUGUUUCAUAAGGGAGGGUAAUGUGGAAGGCAGAGGAGGUGACUCUUAGGACUCUGGGAAGAAGUCCCCUCUCAACACAUCCUAACCCCAGUUUGAACACAGCUGCACCAUCUCGAAGGUGAGCACAGUCAGGCCAAGGGAAGCCUGAGGUUGUUUCUUGAUUUCCUCAAGUUCUAUGUGGGGUGGGUGAUGGAUGGAGGCCCAGAGGGCCUGCUUUGGGAGUUUCUCAAGGUGAAGCCCAAUGACUUGGCUACAAAGCUGGGUGAGCACCUGGGCCUGCAGACUGGAUGGGGAGCUUGAAAGAGAUCUGGGGUCUGAGGCUUGAGAAGCCCAUGCAAACCUGAAUCAAUCAGGAAGGAGUUCCCACUCUGGGCAAGCUGAGAAAGAGACCAAUGGCCACAGAAGUUAGCUGAGGGACAAAGGACACUGCCUCAGGCACCAGAGACUACUCAAAAGACCAUCAAAGACCUGGCUCUUCCCUCCGCCAAACACACAGUUCUCAGCUCACAUGCCUGGCUAACAUCUAGGGAAGAGAAGUGGGUAAAGAGAGUAUAUUAGUAAGGGUUCUCCAGACAAAUAGAACCAGUAAAAGCACUAUAUAAAGAGAGUCAUUAUAAAGAAUUGGCUUACAUGGUUAUGGAGGCUAAGAAGUCUUAAGAUGUGUAGUUGGCAAGCUGGAGACCCAGGAGAGCUGAUAGUUGAGUUUCAGUCUGAAGCUAAAAGCCUGAGAAGCUGAUGGUGGAAAUUCGAGGCCAAGUGUGACUCUGAAGGCAUGAGAAGACCAAUGUCCAGCUCCAAGACAGACAGAAAGACAGUGAAUUCUCCCUUACUCAGCCUUUUUGUUCCAUUCAAGCCUUCCACAGAUUGGAUGAAGCUCACCCAAAUUGGGGAGGGCAAUUUGCUUUGCUCAAUCUCCCAAUGUAAAUGCGAAUCUCAUCCAGAAACACCCUCACAGACUCGCCCAUCAUAAUGAUUAAUGAAACAUCUGGGCACCCUGUAGCCCAGUCAAGUUGACACAAAAUUAACCAGCAUAAGAAGCCAUGUAGAAACUGGGAAGUUUUCCUAAAAGAGACAGAGUAUUAGUGAAAGGACCAUUUACAUGCUCAGAUUGGGUUGAGCUUAAUCAAAAUUAGAAAUUUCGUUUUCUGUGUGUUUGCUUUUUGCUUUCUACUAACUGCUGAAUGGGAGAUUAUGAGAGGGAAUGGAGAGACAUCAAGAAAAAAACCUUACAUUUUCUCUGCUUAUUCAGCCAUGGAUAAAUAUAUGGAAACACAUUAUAUCUGUUCUGUAAUCUGCUUUUUUGACCAUGCAAAUAUACAUCAUAGACAGCUUUCUGGAUUAAUAAAUAUCGAUCUCCAUGAAAAUUAUCUUAAAUAUGUCCUUGGUAUUCCAUUGUCUAUAAAUGUCAAAAUGUAGACACUCAGACCCCUAUUGAUAGACAUUUGUUAUUUUUAAUUAAAUAGACACAAUUCACUCCAGAAAGCUUUCAGAGACUUUCAGUUAUAACUACAGCUUGGUUUUCUUUGUUUCAUAUAUGGAGAAAAAUAAAUUGUAUUUAUUCUUUGAAUAUGGGAGUGUGGGGGAAUAAAAAGAACAGAGAAUACGAAUUUGACAGGGAGCUUGUAAAUGGCUGUGGGAUGUUCAGAGAUGCGGUCCAUGCACGCCCUGUACAUGCCUGGCUAC
This 2329-nucleotide long non-coding RNA is filed under the name Homo sapiens (human). Its description in RNAcentral is "HSALNT0332969". The record is from RNAcentral. Lineage: Eukaryota; Metazoa; Chordata; Mammalia; Primates; Hominidae.